This is a regulatory RNA element of Serratia sp. DD3, 65 nucleotides long. It matches the Rfam family "DnaX ribosomal frameshifting element". Rfam says of the family: This family represents a ribosomal frameshifting element found in the mRNA of the dnaX gene in E. coli. The record is from Rfam. NCBI's taxonomy places the organism in Bacteria, Pseudomonadati, Pseudomonadota, Gammaproteobacteria, Enterobacterales, Yersiniaceae.
AACAGGGGGCAUCCACCGCAAAAAAGAGUGAGCCGGCUGCACCAAUAAAUGGGCGGCCGGCGAAC